Molecule: long non-coding RNA, 552 nt
Organism: Frankliniella occidentalis (western flower thrips)
Lineage: Eukaryota; Metazoa; Arthropoda; Insecta; Thysanoptera; Thripidae
Exons: 3
Source: RefSeq, a predicted model, not a curated record
AUCUUGGACCUCAGCCAACUGUAAGUCAAACCAUCCCUGGGUCAAAUAUCUCUGCUGCUCCACAAAUUAUUAGUGUGCCUGGAAGUUCUAAGGUACCUGGUGUCCAAAAUCGUCCGUCACACCCUUCUACUCAUAAAAUUACUUCUACUUCUGCCCCCAGUAGGCAAUCAACUUCAAAUACCCAUCUUGGACCUCAGUCAACUGUACGUCAAACUACCCCUGGGUCAAGUAUUUCUGCUGCUCCACAAAUUAUUAGUGUGGCUGGAUGUUAUUCAAAGGUAUCUGGUCUCCCAAAUCGUCCACCACACCCUACAACUCAAAAAACUUCUUCUUCUGUCACCAGUGGGCAAUCAACUUCAAAUACCUAUCUUGGACCUCAGUCAACUGUACAUCAAACUACCCCUGGGUCAAAUAUUUCUGCUGCUCCACAAAUUAUUAGCCUGCCUGGAAGUUCUCAGGUACCUAGUCUCCCAAAUCAACCUCCACACGCUGCUACUUAUGAAAUUUCUACAACUUCUGCCGCCAGUGGGCAAUCAGGUAUAAGUAAGUGUU